UUGACCUCGGAUCAGGUAGGGAUACCCGCUGAACUUAAGCAUAUCAUG
This 48-nucleotide ribosomal RNA is filed under the name Neofusicoccum vitifusiforme. Its description in RNAcentral is "partial 28S ribosomal RNA". Lineage: Eukaryota; Fungi; Ascomycota; Dothideomycetes; Botryosphaeriales; Botryosphaeriaceae. The record is from RNAcentral.